This 253-nucleotide ribosomal RNA is filed under the name uncultured bacterium. RNAcentral's name for it is "partial 16S ribosomal RNA". It matches the Rfam family "Bacterial small subunit ribosomal RNA", at positions 524 to 776 of the family's 1533-position model. The record is from RNAcentral.
UACAGAGGUCCCAAGCGUUGUUCGGAUUCAUUGGGCGUAAAGGGUGCGUAGGCGGCGCCGUAAGUCAGGUGUGAAAUCUCGGGGCUUAACUCCGAAACUGCAUUUGAUACUGCCGUGCUUGAGGACUGGAGAGGAGACUGGAAUUUACGGUGUAGCGGUGAAAUGCGUAGAUAUCGUAAGGAAGACCAGUGGCGAAGGCGGGUCUCUGGACAGUUCCUGACGCUGAGGCACGAAGGCCAGGGGAGCAAACGGG